CCCAGGCGAGCCCAGGCGCACCAAAGCGUCAGACACGCCUAGGCGUGCCCCAAGGAGCCCAGCCAUAAAAAACCCAGAAAUUGCUUUCUCUUUCCUUACCCACAUGCAGACAGCAACCACAAAACUAAGAAGAAGACGAAGAAGACCGCAUCCACAAAGCAAGCAGAAGAAGAAAAAAGGACAAAAGCCUUGAAGAAGAAGAAGAAGAAGUGGACAAAACUAUCGACGACCAAUUAUCAAUGAAGUAUCCAUAGGUGCAAAAGAAAUGCACAAACACAAUACAGUAUACAACAGUUCCUCAAAUUCUUCAAAAUCCGCGAAACAGAAUCGAUAUUUAAGGAAAUGGGUAAUUGCGAAUAAGAUAGAACUUUGAAGAACUCAAUUAAUAUUUGGGAUUUUUGAGCUUUGUAUUUGCAGUUUGCACCUUUCGCUGUUAAAGACGCAGAGCCAGAGAGCUAGAACGGUUGGUGGCUCCAUUUUCCGUUUGCUAAAUUUGGGUCGGGUUUAAU
RNAcentral lists this unclassified non-coding RNA (509 nucleotides) under Hevea brasiliensis (rubber tree). The record is from RNAcentral. Lineage: Eukaryota; Viridiplantae; Streptophyta; Magnoliopsida; Malpighiales; Euphorbiaceae.